RNAcentral lists this non-coding RNA (50 nucleotides) under Trichobilharzia regenti. The record is from RNAcentral. Lineage: Eukaryota; Metazoa; Platyhelminthes; Trematoda; Strigeidida; Schistosomatidae.
GUACUGGUGAAGAGUCCCAAAUAAGCCAGAACGAAACAGCUGUCCAGUAC